UCAGAUUUAUCUCAGAACCUGAUUUUGAAAUUUACUACUUUUGCAUCUUUGAAACCAUUACUUGCUUCUUGAAGCACAUUUUUUUGUUUCCUGAAUUAGCGUCAGUCUAUUAAGCACAAACAUGAACACGAGACACGAAACCACCGGUAACAGUUUGUGAAGAUCAUAGUGAUUGUAUGUGAUCAUUAUCGUCAUUGUCAUUGUUGCGUUGGUGUCGGAUAGUUCUACCAUCUGAAGGGUUAAGGAUAUAUAGAGCGCUGGGUUUUGUUACACAGUGAAUGGUUGUAACAAGGAACAAGGAGAAUAGUGUUUCAUGCGAUAGAUCAGAGGUUAGGAAAUGUGGAGAGAUUUGUUUGCUGUUACUGGAAUGGAGGGAAUAUUCUAGUCGGAGGAGAAUAAGAGAUCCGGAAGGAGAGGAAGAGAUGAUGAUGAGGACGAAGGAAGUGGUGGAAUGUUGUCAGCAGAAUCGCAGUCACGACAUCACCGGAGCAGAGACAGUUACGCCUCCAGACAUCGUGGUGGCCGGAGGAAGUUGGGAACACAUAGAAAUAAAUUAAAAAAAUCUGAGUUUGAAAUGGGAGAAAGGGGGACAGCACCUUUAGUAUUAAUGGGGAUCCUACCAUUGACAUAGACCGAGUCUUAGCCCUUUCUCUAGCCUAGUAAUAGUAGUUAAGAGGAAAGACGGGGUUGGAGAUUUUGUAGUUGAAACAAAUGCAUCAGGGAAACUGAUUGGGUUGGUAUUGAUGCAAGGAAUACCUGUAGCGUAUGAGUUAAACAUGUUAGGCAGAGCUCAAAAAAGGUCAGUGUAUGAGAGAGAACUCAUGGCUAUUGUCAUAGCUAUUCAAAAAUGGAGACCAUAUCUGCUAGGGAGACAUUUCAUGGUUCAUACUGAUCAGAAAAGUUUAAGGUUCUUAACUGAGCAAAGGAUCAUGGGAGAAGAGCAACAAAAAUGGAUUUCAAAAUUAAUGGGCUAUAGUUUCAAAAUCAAGCAUAAACCGGGAAAAGAAAAUAGCGCAGUAGAUGCUUUAUCUUGACAGAUGCAAUAUUCUACAAUUACUACAGGUAAAUGUGAAGUGUGGGAAGGGCUGGAAGAAGCACAAGCUGAUGAAAAGUUGAAGACCAUUGUUCAAGAAUUGCUGGCAGAUUCUUACUCUCACAAGGGCUGUAAGUUAAAAAAAAGGCAUAAGACAAAAUUGUUUUACCAAAGAAUUCAUCUUGGAUUCUUUGGAUCUUACAAGAAUUGCAUGACUCAGCUAUUAGGGGACACUCUGGGAUCUUUAGAACUUACAAGAGGAUUGCAGGGCUGGUGUAUUGGGAAGGCAUGCGAAAAGGAAUCCAAGGGUAUUUACAAGCUUGUGAAGUGUGUCUGCAGAAUAAAUAUCAAACUUUGAGUCUAGGUGGUUUGUUGCAGCCUCAUCCUAUUCCAGAGUAGAUAUGGCGCGAUAUCUCCAUGGAUUUCAUAGGAGGGUUACCUAAGGUGUUAGGGGUUGACACUUUCAAGGUGGUAGUGGAUAGGUUAACAAAAUAUGCUGAUUUCAUCCAAUUAAGCAUUCCUACACAGGUAAAGAUAUAGUGGAUGUGUUCAUCAAAGAAGUAGUGAAAUUACAUGGUUUUCCAAGCUCUAGUGUAUGACAGGGACGCGGUAUUUAUGAGUGCUUUUUGGUUUGAAUUAUUCAAGCAAGCAGAUACUAGAUUAAAGUUUAAUAGAAGCCUAUCUAAGGUGUCUGACAGGGAGGAAACUGAAACAGUUGCCAAAGUGUUUAAGUUGGGUAGAGUAUUGGUACAACACCAACCAUCAUUCAUCUCUUACGACUACUCCUUUUGAGGCAUUGUAUGGAAGGGAGCCCCCACCUUAAUUUGAGGAGAUUCACACAAGGUUAUGAGAGGGUGUACGUGAAAGAAAAGAAGAGGGGGGAAGCAGGGACAAUCCACUAAUAACUACCUGUUGAGUGGGCUAAGUGGGGUAUGGGUGAGGAGAGAGAAAUUGGCAGUUCUUGAAUAAAAAGAAGGAACAUGCACUGGAGUGGGCAAACUAGAAAUUGGAAGUUAUUCUUGGGAGAUCUUAGGCUUCUCGAACUGCCAUUUUAUCACUUUUUAUCAUUGUAAUCCACAUCUGAACCACUUUGAUUCUGUUUGUUAUGCGAAAAUUAAUAUAACAGUGUUCAUCCUUCUCUUUUAUGUCAAUUUACCAUUAAAUUCCUCGGUGAUA
Molecule: long non-coding RNA, 2209 nt
Organism: Lathyrus oleraceus (garden pea)
Lineage: Eukaryota; Viridiplantae; Streptophyta; Magnoliopsida; Fabales; Fabaceae
Exons: 2
Source: RefSeq, a predicted model, not a curated record